Long non-coding RNA from Lathyrus oleraceus (garden pea), 829 nucleotides. RefSeq lists it as uncharacterized. Lineage: Eukaryota; Viridiplantae; Streptophyta; Magnoliopsida; Fabales; Fabaceae. The transcript has 2 exons. The record is from RefSeq and is a predicted model, not a curated record.
CUUAAUCCAUGGAGUCAUGCUUGGAACUCUCAUCAAUAUUGGUAUCACGCUUAUGCAUCCAGAAUUCAACUCGAAUGAAUCGAACAUAAAUAAACGCGGAUCGAAGCAAGAGGGGAUGCUUAUCGAUUUCAACGCGGCGACGGAAACAAGUUGAAGGCUUGAAUUGGAGGGAGUAUAUUUUCAGUGCAAGUUCAGUUGCAGCCUGAAGAAAUGUUCGAUUUGCAGCAAAACUCAGGUUGCAGAAUCGAGUUUUCUGCUGCAGAGGUGAAGAGCUAGCAGAAUCAGAAAAAGGCUCUGAUGCAGGGUGGAAGGGAAAUGAUGCAGAGAAGUAGAAAGAAAAUGAAAGUGAGUGAGGAAGAUGAAGGUAUAACAGAAUGGUUGAAAAGUGAAGAUUGAAGCAGAAUGUGCAGGUUGAAGAAGUGAAACAGAAAAUGAUGGAGAAAGGUAUUUAUAGACUCUAAAAUUCGGUUAAAAAUGUAGCUCAAAUGCAAUAUGAAAUUCAUUAUAAAUGAUCGGUUUGUUAUAAAUUGGGAUUUGGUUAGUUAGAAAAUUGAAUGGCAAUGAAAUUCAAUUGAAAUUAACUUGAAAUGAUUAAUUGGUUGAAAGUUGUUAGGAUUGGUUGGAAUUAAAAUCAAUCUGACUGCUAUUUGUUUGUUUGAAGUUGGUUUGAGUUGGAGAUUUUGAUUUUAGUUAGUGAGUUAUGACUCAUCUUUGUUACAUUAGUCAAGGUAUGUAAUGAGUCAUGUUAGAAUGUUAUGUAAUGAAUGUUUGGAUGUAAUUAUGGAUUAGUAUAGAAAGUUUUUGAAUGUGAAUAGAAUGAUUUAAUGGA